GAUGAACGCUGGCGGCGUGCCUAAUACAUGCAAGUCGAGUGAACAGACGAGGAGCUUGCUCCUUUGACGUUAGCGGCGGACGGGUGAGUAACACGUGGGUAACCUACCUAUAAGACUGGGAUAACUUCGGGAAACCGGAGCUAAUACCGGAUAAUAUUUCGAACCGCAUGGUUCGAUAGUGAAAGAUGGCUCUGCUAUCACUUAUAGAUGGACCUGCGCCGUAUUAGCUAGUUGGUAAGGUAACGGCUUACCAAGGCAACGAUACGUAGCCGACCUGAGAGGGUGAUCGGCCACACUGGAACUGAGACACGGUCCAGACUCCUACGGGAGGCAGCAGUAGGGAAUCUUCCGCAAUGGGCGAAAGCCUGACGGAGCAACGCCGCGUGAGUGAUGAAGGUCUUCGGAUCGUAAAACUCUGUUAUUAGGGAAGAACAAACGUGUAAGUAACUGUGCACGUCUUGACGGUACCUAAUCAGAAAGCCACGGCUAACUACGUG
Molecule: ribosomal RNA, 497 nt
Filed under: uncultured bacterium
Lineage: Bacteria
Description: partial 16S ribosomal RNA
Rfam family: Bacterial small subunit ribosomal RNA
Source: RNAcentral